Molecule: ribosomal RNA, 253 nt
Filed under: uncultured bacterium
Lineage: Bacteria
Description: partial 16S ribosomal RNA
Rfam family: Bacterial small subunit ribosomal RNA
Source: RNAcentral
UACGUAGGGACCAAGCGUUGUCCGGAUUUACUGGGCGUAAAGGGCGCGUAGGCGGCAAUUCAAGUCAGCUGUGAAAUCUCCGGGCUUAACUCGGAACGGUCAGCUGAUACUGCUUUGCUAGAGUGCAGAAGGGGCAAUCGGAAUUCUUGGUGUAGCGGUGAAAUGCGUAGAUAUCAAGAGGAACACCUGAGGUGAAGACGGGUUGCUGGGCUGACACUGACGCUGAGGCGCGAAAGCUAGGGUAGCAAACGGG